AACAAAUUGCUGUAUAAAAACGGCCAAAACUGAACAGUAUCAUACUGUUUCUAUUGAAAACGGUACUGCACCGUGAAAAACAAUGCAUUCUGGGCAAUUAUUACUGUUUUUAAUAAAAUACUGUAAUAUACUGUGAGUAGCAUUGCAUUUUGGGAAUGAUGUUAGAUUCAACGGCAAGGAGACUCUCUUUAAACAGAAUGCUACUGUAUUUCACAAGAAGACACGUUGUUGUGACAUGUGGAAGCAACCUCUAGAAUUUUCUUUACAAGGACUAUCCAUUUGAAUCCUGCAUUUUAUGAGCCAAUCCGGUGGAAAAGACCAUGUGACUGCUGGGCACUGGAUGAUCAGUCUUGAGAGCUAUAUUGUAUGUGAGGGCAUUCAACCGACCUUUGUGACCGGGCUUGCUGCACUGUUUUCAAUGUACUACACCUACAAUAUCAAGAAGAGGCUGCAUGUACACUUGAAUUCAUCCAGAGGCACUUUCUUGAUAUCAACCCUGAAAGAGGGAC
Long non-coding RNA from Gambusia affinis (western mosquitofish), 509 nucleotides. RefSeq lists it as uncharacterized. The record is from RefSeq and is a predicted model, not a curated record. The transcript is spliced from 3 exons. NCBI's taxonomy places the organism in Eukaryota, Metazoa, Chordata, Actinopteri, Cyprinodontiformes, Poeciliidae.